This 713-nucleotide ribosomal RNA is filed under the name uncultured prokaryote. RNAcentral's name for it is "bacterial SSU rRNA". It matches the Rfam family "Bacterial small subunit ribosomal RNA", at positions 755 to 1482 of the family's 1533-position model. The record is from RNAcentral.
GAAAGCGUGGGGAUCAAACAGGAUUAGAUACCCUGGUAGUCCACGCCGUAAACGAUGANUGCUAGCUGUUAGCGAUAUACUGUUAGCGGCACAGAGAAAUCGUUAAGCAUUCCACCUGGGGAGUACGCCGGCAACGGUGAAACUCAAAGGAAUUGACGGGGGCCCGCACAAGCGGAGGAACAUGUGGUUUAAUUCGAUGAUACGCGAGGAACCUUACCUGGGCUUAAAUUGCAGUGGAAUAACGUGGAAACAUGUUAGCCUUCGGGCCGCUGUGAAGGUGCUGCAUGGUUGUCGUCAGCUCGUGCCGUGAGGUGUCGGCUUAAGUGCCAUAACGAGCGCAACCCUCAUCGAUAGUUACUAACAGGUUAAGCUGAGGACUCUAUCGAGACUGCCGACGUAAGUCGUGAGGAAGGUGGGGAUGACGUCAAAUCAGCACGGCCCUUACGUCCAGGGCUACACACGUGUUACAAUGGGGGGUACAAAGGGCAGCUACCUGGCGACAGGAUGCUAAUCUCAAAAACCUCUCUCAGUUCGGAUUGGAGUCUGCAACCCGACUCCAUGAAGCUGGAUUCGCUAGUAAUCGCGCAUCAGCCACGGCGCGGUGAAUACGUUCCCGGGCCUUGUACACACCGCCCGUCAAGCCAUGGGAGCCGGGGGGACCUGAAGUAUGCAACCGUAAGGAGCGUCCUAGGGUAAAACUGGUGACUGGGGCU